RNAcentral lists this ribosomal RNA (468 nucleotides) under uncultured bacterium. Its description in RNAcentral is "partial 16S ribosomal RNA". It matches the Rfam family "Bacterial small subunit ribosomal RNA", at positions 28 to 507 of the family's 1533-position model. The record is from RNAcentral.
GACGAACGCUGGCGGCGUGCUUAACACAUGCAAGUCGAACGGAAAGGCCCUGCUGUUGUGGGGUGCUCGAGUGGCGAACGGGUGAGUAACACGUGAGUAACCUGCCCUUGACUUUGGGAUAACUUCAGGAAACUGGGGCUAAUACCGGAUAGGAGCUCCUGCUGCAUGGUGGGGGUUGGAAAGUUUCGGCGGUUGGGGAUGGACUCGCGGCUUAUCAGCUUGUUGGUGGGGUAGUGGCUUACCAAGGCUUUGACGGGUAGCCGGCCUGAGAGGGUGACCGGCCACAUUGGGACGGAGAUACGGCCCAGACUCCUACGGGAGGCAGCAGUGGGGAAUAUUGCACAAUGGGCGGACGCCUGAUGCAGCAACGCCGCGUGCGGGAUGACGGCCUUCGGGUUGUAAACCGCUUUCGCCUGUGACGAAGCGUGAGUGACGGUAAUGGGUAAAGAAGCGCCGGCUAACUACGUG